GCUGGGCGUGGUGGCUCAUGCCUGUAAUCCUAGCACUUUUGGAGGCCGAGUUGGGUGGAUCACCUGAGGUCAGGAGUUGGAGCCCAGCCUGGCCAACAUGGUGAAACCCCAUCUCUA
Molecule: non-coding RNA, 117 nt
Filed under: Homo sapiens (human)
Lineage: Eukaryota; Metazoa; Chordata; Mammalia; Primates; Hominidae
Source: Rfam by way of RNAcentral